Chelonoidis abingdonii (Abingdon island giant tortoise) is the source of this 130-nucleotide non-coding RNA. Lineage: Eukaryota; Metazoa; Chordata; Testudines; Testudinidae. The record is from RefSeq and is a predicted model, not a curated record.
UUUAAAUGUGAACUACUAAAAAGUAAAGGAAAACAGCAUUUUUCUUCUGCAUAGUAAAGUUUCAAAGCCGUAUGAAGUCAAUGUUCAAUUCUAAACUUCCAAAACAACAACAACCACAACAUUUUGUUCA